This 126-nucleotide ribosomal RNA is filed under the name Stenotrophomonas maltophilia. RNAcentral describes it as "partial 16S ribosomal RNA". It matches the Rfam family "Bacterial small subunit ribosomal RNA", at positions 1 to 119 of the family's 1533-position model. Lineage: Bacteria; Pseudomonadati; Pseudomonadota; Gammaproteobacteria; Lysobacterales; Lysobacteraceae. The record is from RNAcentral.
UAAGUGAAGAGUUUGAUCCUGGCUCAGAGUGAACGCUGGCGGUAGGCCUAACACAUGCAAGUCGAACGGCAGCACAGGAGAGCUUGCUCUCUGGGUGGCGAGUGGCGGACGGGUGAGGAAUACAUC